Long non-coding RNA from Melanotaenia boesemani (Boeseman's rainbowfish), 140 nucleotides. RefSeq lists it as uncharacterized. The transcript is spliced from 3 exons. Lineage: Eukaryota; Metazoa; Chordata; Actinopteri; Atheriniformes; Melanotaeniidae. The record is from RefSeq and is a predicted model, not a curated record.
UGAAGAAAACAUCUGUGAGUGUUUAGGGCGUGUUGGGCGGUUGGAAACAACGUCAUAGCGACGCGUUACCGCCACUAAACGGUGUCUGAAACAGACGUCGCCUCGCAGGAGUGAACUCUGAACUCAGCACUGCCCCCUAG